AACGAACGCUGGCGGCACGCUUAACACAUGCAAGUCGAACGGGCAGUAGCAAUACUGUCAGUGGCGAACGGGUGCGUACAAAGUAGGAACCUGCCCUUUGGUAGGGGAUAACUAUGGGAAACUAUAGCUAAUACCCUAUAAGCCCUGAGGGGGAAAGAUUAAUUGCCGAAGGAAGGGCCUACGUCGGAUUAGGUAGUUGGUAGGGUAAAGGCCUACCAAGCCAGAGAUCCGUAGCUGGUCUGAGAGGACGAUCAGCCACACUGGGACUGAGACACGGCCCAGACUCCUACGGGAGGCAGCAGUGGGGAAUAUUGGACAAUGGGGGCGAACCCUGAUCCAGCGAUGCCGCGUGAGUGAUGAAGGCCUCGGUUGUAAAGCUCUUUGUCACGCGACGAUGAUGACGGUAGCGUGAGAAUAAGCCCGGCUAACUCUGUGCCAGCAGCCGCGGUAAAGU
RNAcentral lists this ribosomal RNA (454 nucleotides) under uncultured bacterium. RNAcentral describes it as "bacterial SSU rRNA". It matches the Rfam family "Bacterial small subunit ribosomal RNA", at positions 29 to 526 of the family's 1533-position model. The record is from RNAcentral.